GAUGAGGAACUGAAUCAGAAUCAGGGUCGUCUCUAUCCUCCUCUUUCCAACAUUAGGGAGGUUUCUUUACAGAUGGCUGUGAGGAUAAGAUUUGUGUUUAUACAUACACACAAUGUGGUGGAGUUUCUGUACAGUAAAGGAAUGGCAUUUCGGUACCCAGAGCCACUGGAUAAGGAGGCGUAUGUGAGAUCCAUUGUGUGGAACACGGAGUACGAUUCCUUCCUCCCAGACAUCUACGAACGGGCUGGAGUGUCCCAUAGUCCUAUAGUGGAGUAAUCAUACACCCUAUAGCAUACACCUGAAACAGUCACACCCUUCAUUUACAGCUGUGUAAUGUUUAACUAUCACACAUCCCCAUGGGGAGUGAUUCCUAAACUCCUUCUGCUAAUGUAAAUGUACAGUGUUGCUAUUAUUAAAACACUCCACGUGUGUGUGUGUGUGUGUGUGUGUGUGUGUGUGUGUGUGUGUGUGUGUGUAUCAGCUAAUACAUUUAGUGCUUUGUGUUUC
Long non-coding RNA from Trichomycterus rosablanca, 507 nucleotides. RefSeq lists it as uncharacterized. Lineage: Eukaryota; Metazoa; Chordata; Actinopteri; Siluriformes; Trichomycteridae. The transcript has 2 exons. The record is from RefSeq and is a predicted model, not a curated record.